GGAGCUCUCCCAUAUGGUCGACCUGCAGGCGGCCGCGAAUUCACUAGUGAUUGUUUGAUCCUGGCUCAGGAUGAACGCUAGCGACAGGCCUAACACAUGCAAGUCGAGGGGUAUAAGUAGCUUGCUACUUAGAGACCGGCGCACGGGUGAGUAACGCGUAUGCAACCUACCUUUUACUGGGGGAUAGCCCAAAGAAAUUUGGAUUAAUACCGCAUAACAUAUUUGAAUCGCAUGGUUUAAAUAUUAAAACUUCGGUGGUAAAAGAUGGGCAUGCGUAGCAUUAGUUAGUUGGUGAGGUAACGGCUCACCAAGACUAUGAUGCUUAGGGGGUCUGAGAGGAUAGUCCCCCACACUGGUACUGAGACACGGACCAGACUCCUACGGGAGGCAGCAGUGAGGAAUAUUGGUCAAUGGGCGCAAGCCUGAACCAGCCAUGUCGCGUGCAGGAUGACGGCCCUAUGGGUUGUAAACUGCUUUUUACAGGAAUAAACUUUGUUACGUGUAGCAAACUGAAGGUACUGUAAGAAUAAGGAUCGGCUAACUCCGUGCCAGCAGCCGCGGUAAUACGGAGGAUCCAAGCGUUAUCCGGAUUUAUUGGGUUUAAAGGGUCCGUAGGCGGGCUUUUAAGUCAGUGGUGAAAUCCCAGAGCUCAACUCUGGAACUGCCAUUGAUACUGAAGGUCUUGAAUUUAGUUGAGGUGGGCGGAAUACGUUAUGUAGCGGUGAAAUGCAUAGAUAUAACGUAGAACACCGAUUGCGAAGGCAGCUCACUAAGCUAACAUUGACGCUGAUGGACGAAAGCGUGGGGAGCGAACAGGAUUAGAUACCCUGGUAGUCCACGCCGUAAACGAUGAUUACUCGUUGUGCACGAUACACUGUGCGUGACUGAGCGAAAGCAUUAAGUAAUCCACCUGGGGAGUACGUUCGCAAGAAUGAAACUCAAAGGAAUUGACGGGGGCCCGCACAAGC
Molecule: ribosomal RNA, 968 nt
Filed under: Bacteroidales bacterium
Lineage: Bacteria; Pseudomonadati; Bacteroidota; Bacteroidia; Bacteroidales
Description: bacterial SSU rRNA
Rfam family: Bacterial small subunit ribosomal RNA
Source: RNAcentral